UACGUAGGGGGCGAGCGUUGUCCGGAUUUAUUGGGCGUAAAGAGCUCGUAGGCGGUUCGAUAAGUCGGACGUGAAAUCUCCACGCUCAACGUGGAGGGGCCGUUCGAUACUGUCGUGACUCGAGUCCGGUAGGGGAGUGUGGAAUUCCCGGUGUAGCGGUGAAAUGCGCAGAGAUCGGGAGGAACACCCGUAGCGAAGGCGGCACUCUGGGCCGGUACUGACGCUGAGGAGCGAAAGCGUGGGGAGCAACAGG
Molecule: ribosomal RNA, 253 nt
Filed under: uncultured bacterium
Lineage: Bacteria
Description: partial 16S ribosomal RNA
Rfam family: Bacterial small subunit ribosomal RNA
Source: RNAcentral